RNAcentral lists this ribosomal RNA (518 nucleotides) under uncultured bacterium. RNAcentral describes it as "bacterial SSU rRNA". It matches the Rfam family "Bacterial small subunit ribosomal RNA", at positions 501 to 1016 of the family's 1533-position model. The record is from RNAcentral.
CUACGUGCCAGCAGCCGCGGUAAUACGGAAGGUCCAGGCGUUAUCCGGAUUUAUUGGGUUUAAAGGGAGCGUAGGCGGACGAUUAAGUCAGCUGUGAAAGUUUGCGGCUCAACCGUAAAAUUGCAGUUGAAACUGGUUGUCUUGAGUGCACGCAGGGAUGUUGGAAUUCAUGGUGUAGCGGUGAAAUGCUUAGAUAUCAUGAAGAACUCCGAUCGCGAAGGCAUAUGUCCGGAGUGCAACUGACGCUGAGGCUCGAAAGCGUGGGGAGCGAACAGGAUUAGAUACCCUGGUAGUCCACGCCGUAAACGAUGAGUGCUAGGUGUUGGAUCCUUUCCGGGAUUCAGUGCCGCAGCUAACGCAUUAAGCACUCCGCCUGGGGAGUACGACCGCAAGGUUGAAACUCAAAGGAAUUGACGGGGGCCCGCACAAGCGGUGGAGCAUGUGGUUUAAUUCGAAGCAACGCGAAGAACCUUACCAGGUCUUGACAUCCCGAUGUUAUUUCUAGAGAUAGAAAGUUA